Eriocheir sinensis (Chinese mitten crab) is the source of this 2855-nucleotide long non-coding RNA. RefSeq lists it as uncharacterized. The transcript has 3 exons. NCBI's taxonomy places the organism in Eukaryota, Metazoa, Arthropoda, Malacostraca, Decapoda, Varunidae. The record is from RefSeq and is a predicted model, not a curated record.
AGAAUGUGAGUCAGUGGUUAUCUCAACUGGGCGUGGAGGGCGGCGGGGUGGAAGAACAUCAGGCGUUGGAGUGUGAAGGAAGAGGCAGGAAUGGAGUGAUAGGAAAAGGGACGUGCCAGGGCAUAGGUAAUCUCUGGGGAUCAACCGAAGCCCACAACAACAACAACAACGACCUUCUCUUCAAUCCAUACCAUCGACACCAACUGACAAAGAUACAUCGCACUGAAGGAGAUCGCCUUCCAACGCCCUCCCGUGUACUUCUACCAACUGAAAGGCCAGUUGGAGAGGCACCGGUACAGGGUUUUGGUGUUGGGGGUAUUGAUGGUGGUGGUGAGUGCCCCAUGCCCCUCUUCCACCUCCCACACCAAGAUCAAGGAACUAUUAGUGGUCAGAACCUCCACCAUAAUCAAGUGCAUCAUAUGGCAGAUCCACAGAUGGCUUUUCCUGCACCAAAUCAAUGGGACGCCUUCAUUUGGCCUCCUCCUCCUCCUCCUCUCCCUUCUCCUCUUCCUCCUCAAUCUCCUUUACCUCUUCCUCCUCCUCCUCCUUCUAGUCAUCCUUCUCUUCCACCGACCUCUCCUCAACCUAACCCUCCCCCGCCUGCUCCUUUUUCUGCCGUUCCUCUUCAUCCAUCAUCAAUUCCUCCUCUUCCUCCUCCUCCUCCUCCUCGUCGUCCUUCUUCACUUCCUCAGCCUCUUCUUCACCCUCAAACCAUUCCCUUACCACCUCCACAUCCUCGUAGUUCCCCUAUGCCUCUUCCUCCUCUUCUUUCAACUCCUCCAGCACAACGGAUUUCAGCUUCACAAUCGUCACCCCAUCCUCCUCUUCAACCUCUCCCUCCUCCUCCUCCUGACUCUUCUUCUGAGUCGGCGGAGUUUACCUUCAGCCCCAAACCUUCGAAGCACCAGGACGUGUGGUGGGGGGCGACGCGGAGCAGCAGAUUUCACCUAGUAGCCGUCAGUCACUUGGAGAGCAAUAUGGUGUUUGAGCCUAAAUUCGGAUGGGCUCAACAACGCCGCACCAGCACACACCUAUCAGGCCUGCAGUCUCCAGGUAAUGACCUCGGCCUCCCUCACGCCCUGCGGGCCCCCAACGACCUCCUCAACCUAUACUCCAAGAGCUGAGUCUCGAGGCCGCCCACUCACGCCACUCUUCUUCAGGAUAAUUGUUCGACGCUUCUUUCUUGGUACGACUAUUCCCACUUGCAGUUUACACAAUGGCUAUUCGAUUGAUUUUAUGUGGAUUACUCUUUUAAUGCAUUUAAACACACCAAACAAAAACAAAAAAAAUGUACUGGUGACGCAACUUUGUAUAAUUAUGAAAUGUUAGGCAUGAAUGUUACCUCAGUUUUAUUUCGUUUGAUUUGGGAAUAAAAUUUACAAUAUAAUCAGUUUGUGUAUCUGCCGAAAUCAGUAAUUUUCACGUAUGGCAAUGAACUAGCAACUCCUCGUGGUCAUACGUAAAUGAAAUAAUUUUGUGAUAGAAAUCAAAUGCAUUUUAAUGGGGUUAGUUCUAAGGAAAUUAAACUUUAGGAAGGGAGUGUGAUGAGAAAAAAGACAGCAGAAUAAAUUACGAAUAAUCUCCACUCUAGAAAAAAAAAACUAUGACAAUGUUAUGAAUGAUUUAGUAAGUAAGCGAAAUCGAAAGUUUUUUUUACAACUCAGAAUAAGAAUUGAGAUUUUUAAAGUGGCAAAAAAGUGCAUUUCUCUUUGAUUUUCUUAUUUUGUUUUGCGGUUCAAGGACAUAUUUAUUGAACUUUUAUCUUCAUGGCUUAUAACCCAACAGACAAAGGUUAAAAAAGUGAGCACAGCGUCACCACGUGCAAGGUCAACGACAUAUGAAGUGGGAUGGCCGGUUCCUCUCUCCGCUGGCCUUAUAACCAGAGCUGUGGCUAACCAGUUGCUCAUUAAUAACAUAAAACCACUCAAAGGAAUCACAGUGUGACUUGCUUAACUCGACUGACAGAGAUAAUACAGGUUCCCUCUGCCUGGGCUCAUCGCCAGGGCCCGCCGCAACGAGGUCAGUGACUCGUAACGUCAAGGGAAAUAUUUCAGUAGGACUUAGAUGACAGGUUUUGGGCUGGAGAACAGUAGAUGAAGGAGUAGUGGACACGGCCGCGGUGACGGAUGAGCCUGAACACUAUACGCGGGCUGAAACGGCGCAGUGAACUCGGAUAUACUGACAAUGAAAAACGUUUGUGUAGGAGUAUUCUGCAAGGGAAAGGAACAUUGUGGGUGGGCGGCAUGCACGUGGAGGAUAGAUGGGAGACGGUCAAGGCUGGACAGGACACGAAGAAGUAAAACCGGGCCCCGUAUACCGGAUCUUGGCCGCAUAAUGGUGGACACAGAGAACCCAUGAUGACUGCUCUGUUCACAGACAUCACGAGACUGGACGCACGCGCUCAUUCUGGAUUACUUAGGCUUAGGGUGUAUUAAGGACACGUAUUUGAAUUGUUCCAGAUUGACUAUGAACAAGUGUUGGCGAUGUCCCUCGACAGAUUUCUUAGUAUAACUCAGUAUAUCCAGGGCUGAGGACUGACUUACAUGAACAAAAUAUUCAAUCUAUUUGUAUUAUUUUACCUUUGCCCUCAAUAACAAGGAACUACAUGACUGCGAGAAAGUAUUAAUCCCUUUUUUUAAUGAAGCCUUUGGUCUGUAUCCUUUUAACACACACACCAAUAAGGUAAAAAAAAGUGAGAUGCUGGCACCCUCUCUAAACACUGUCUGGAAGGAGGCGACCCCACCGCCUUGGGAAGACAGGUGCACGAAGCGGUUAAUUAUCAUUAUUAUCAUCCUCAUUAUCAUGUUUCCUCCAUCCCUAGUGACGAAUUUUCUCAUCUGGCAACACUGCGACAC